This 253-nucleotide ribosomal RNA is filed under the name uncultured bacterium. Its description in RNAcentral is "partial 16S ribosomal RNA". It matches the Rfam family "Bacterial small subunit ribosomal RNA", at positions 524 to 776 of the family's 1533-position model. The record is from RNAcentral.
UACAGAGACUGCAAGCGUUAUUCGGAUUCACUGGGCGUAAAGGGUGCGCAGGCGGCCAAGUGUGUGAGGCGUGAAAGCCCGGGGCUUAACCCCGGAAUUGCACCUCAAACUACAUGGCUAGAGCAUUGGAGAGGGUAGCGGAAUUCACGGUGUAGCAGUGAAAUGCGUAGAUAUCGGGAAGAACACCAGUGGCGAAAGCGGCUCUCUGGGGACCAUCUGACGCUGAGGCGCGAAAGCGUGGGGAGCGAACCGG